AAGUCGUAACAAGGUUUCCGUAGGUGAACCUGCGGAAGGAUCAUUACCUAGAGUUCGUAGACUUCGGUCUGCUACCUCUUACCCCAUGUCUUUUGAGUACCUUCGUUUUCCUCGGCGGGUCCGCCCCGCCCGAUUUGGGACAAACAUUCAAACCCUUUGCAGUUGCAAUCAGCGUCUGAAAAAACAUAAUAGUUACAA
This 198-nucleotide unclassified non-coding RNA is filed under the name plant metagenome. Its description in RNAcentral is "partial contains small subunit ribosomal RNA and internal transcribed spacer 1". The stretch from base 1 to 46 matches the Rfam family "Eukaryotic small subunit ribosomal RNA", at positions 1786 to 1831 of the family's 1831-position model. The record is from RNAcentral.